CCUACGGGAGGCAGCAGUGGGGAAUAUUGCGCAAUGGGCGAAAGCCUGACGCAGCGACGCCGCGUGAGGGAUGAAGGUCUUCGGAUCGUAAACCUCUGUCAGCAGGGAAGAACGGUCACUGUGCUAAUCAGCAGUGAAUUGACGGUACCUGCAAAGGAAGCACCGGCUAACUCCGUGCCAGCAGCCGCGGUAAUACGGAGGGUGCGAGCGUUAAUCGGAAUUACUGGGCGUAAAGCGCUCGUAGGCGGUAUGUCAAGUCAAGGGUGAAAUCCCCGCGCUCAACGUGGGAACUGCCUUUGAAACUGGCAAACUGGAUGGUUGGAGAGGGGAGUGGAAGUCCAGGUGUAGGAGUGAAAUCCGAAGAUAUCUGGAGGAACAUCAGGGGCGAAGGCGACUCUCUGGCACAUAACUGACGCUGAGGAGCGAAAGCGUGGGUAGCAAACAGGAUUAGAUACCCGAGUAGUC
RNAcentral lists this ribosomal RNA (465 nucleotides) under uncultured bacterium. RNAcentral describes it as "partial 16S ribosomal RNA". It matches the Rfam family "Bacterial small subunit ribosomal RNA", at positions 338 to 795 of the family's 1533-position model. The record is from RNAcentral.